AUGUUCGAUUCAGCAGCACAUAUACUAAAAUUGGAACAAUACAGAGAUUAGCAUGGACCCUGCACAAAGAUGACACACGAAUUCAUGAAGCGUUUCAUAUUUAA
RNAcentral lists this small nuclear RNA (104 nucleotides) under Erinaceus europaeus (western European hedgehog). Lineage: Eukaryota; Metazoa; Chordata; Mammalia; Eulipotyphla; Erinaceidae. The record is from RNAcentral.